RNAcentral lists this transfer RNA (72 nucleotides) under Phrynosoma platyrhinos (Desert horned lizard). RNAcentral's name for it is "tRNA-OTHER". Lineage: Eukaryota; Metazoa; Chordata; Lepidosauria; Squamata; Phrynosomatidae. The record is from RNAcentral.
GACAGCAUGGCUUAGUGGUUUGAGUGUUGGACUACGACUCUGGAGAUCAAGGUUCGAUUCUCUGCUUGGCCA